UACGUAGGGCGCAAGCGUUAUCCGGAAUUAUUGGGCGUAAAGGGCUCGUAGGCGGUUUGUCGCGUCUGCUGUGAAAGACCGGGGCUCAACUCCGGUUCUGCAGUGGGUACGGGCAGACUAGAGUGAUGUAGGGGAGACUGGAAUUCCUGGUGUAGCGGUGAAAUGCGCAGAUAUCAGGAGGAACACCGAUGGCGAAGGCAGGUCUCUGGGCAUUAACUGACGCUGAGGAGCGAAAGCACGGGGAGCGAACAGG
RNAcentral lists this ribosomal RNA (253 nucleotides) under uncultured bacterium. Its description in RNAcentral is "partial 16S ribosomal RNA". It matches the Rfam family "Bacterial small subunit ribosomal RNA", at positions 524 to 776 of the family's 1533-position model. The record is from RNAcentral.